This is a long non-coding RNA of Octopus sinensis (East Asian common octopus), 152 nucleotides long. RefSeq lists it as uncharacterized. The record is from RefSeq and is a predicted model, not a curated record. NCBI's taxonomy places the organism in Eukaryota, Metazoa, Mollusca, Cephalopoda, Octopoda, Octopodidae. The transcript is spliced from 3 exons.
UUCAAAAUCCGCCGAGGUCGACUUUGCCUUUCAUCCUAUCGGGGUCGAUAAUUUAAGUACCAGUUGCGUACUGGGGUCGAUCUAAUCGACUAUCUCCUACCCCCAAAAUUUUGGGCCUUGAUCCUAGAGUAGGAAAGAAUAAGUAAUUGGAA